UGACUCAGUUUCCUGGGGGGUGACUGUAGCCUUCCCCACCUCCCCUCAGCUGAGCCUAGAAUAGAGAGGCUAGGUGCGUCCCCUGUGGGAGAGGCAUUGAAUAAAGUGAGGAUCCUUGCCUGAACCAUCCUAGCUCACAUUU
RNAcentral lists this small nucleolar RNA (142 nucleotides) under Carlito syrichta (Philippine tarsier). RNAcentral describes it as "Small Cajal body specific RNA 21 (ENSTSYG00000032570.1)". It matches the Rfam family "Small Cajal body specific RNA 21". Rfam says of the family: scaRNAs are a specific class of small nuclear RNAs which localise to the Cajal bodies and guide the modification of RNA polymerase II transcribed spliceosomal RNAs U1, U2, U4, U5 and U12. ACA68 (SCARNA21) is a member of the H/ACA class of snoRNAs that guide the sites of modification of uridines to pseudouridines. This snoRNA was identified by computational screening and its expression in mouse experimentally verified by Northern blot and primer extension analysis. Lineage: Eukaryota; Metazoa; Chordata; Mammalia; Primates; Tarsiidae. The record is from Rfam by way of RNAcentral.